Molecule: long non-coding RNA, 3169 nt
Filed under: Lynx pardinus (Iberian lynx)
Lineage: Eukaryota; Metazoa; Chordata; Mammalia; Carnivora; Felidae
Source: RNAcentral
CUUUGUAAAGGGAAAACACACAACUAUUCUACUCUACUGGAUGGAAAUACAUUGUCCUAAUUUAAACGAAUGGGGUGGAAGGCAAAAUAAAUACCCUUGGAUGUCAGGCGAAAUGAGAAAACAACCCUGCCGUUAUUCUGUAUAAUCUGUUCUUAUGAUAUGAAUGUUAUGAAUAUAUUUUUGCAGGGGACUGAUUAUACACUAAUAAGUACAUUUAAAAAAAAUUUUUUUUUAAUGUUUAUUUAUUUUUGAGACAGAGAGAGGCAGAGCAUGAACGGGGUAGGGUCAGAGAGAGAGGGAGACACAGAAUCGGAAGCAGGCUCCAGGCUCUGGGCCAUCAGCCCAGAGCCCGACGCGGGGCUCGAACUCACGGACCGCGAGAUCGUGACCUGAGCUGAAGUCAGACACUUAACCGACCGAGCCACCCAGGCGCCCCUAAUAAGUACAUUUUUUCAAAACCCCUUUCGGACACGUGGGAAAGGAGGGAUCUAAAUUGAAAGAGUCACCAUCUGAACGCUCAAGAAGUUACUGGAGAUGAGGAUAGCAAGAUAUUGUGAGGGAUGCAUGAGGUCUAAAUAAGUUCACAUUUGUAAAGCACUUCAAAGAGUGCCUGGCACACAGGAAGCACUACAUUAUUGCUAUUAAGAUUGUUACUGUUAAAAUCUUCAAUAGCUCUCAAUCCAGUGUUACAGAUAAGCACAUAAGCUGAUAACGAGCAAGGUGCUGAAUGAAUAAUACAGCUAUGAGCAAAAGUCCAAGGGCAUCCCCAGAGGGAAGGGGGCAAGCAUCUGCCAGGGAAUAGGGGGAGGGGCAGGAAAACAAGAUGGCACCCGGAGAUCACAUGACCGAGGAAGGCGCGAGUUGCUAGAACUGGAGCACCACCACCUGACUUCUGCAGAAACAUUUUGUCAGCAAAUCUUGUACGACUAAAGGUUCUAUUUCUCCAAAUCUCUAAUAUUCGAAGUUUGCUCACUAUUCUGAGCAUCCUUUUGCCACUGGCACAGGAAUGGAGCCUUAACCACUGGGCAAAAAGAACAAGGCUUUCACCAAGUUGACAUGAGAGUCCGCAGGAGGGAGAAAGAGGUGACUGAAGCUGAUGAUGGUGUGGCCCUGUACUCCAAGGAGGUUCCAACCCCACCUGGAAGUCCAACUGGGAUGAUCAAGGCUCCAUGAGGGAAAAGUACAUUCCCAUCCCCCAGGCUCCAGUCCCUCCCUAGCAGAGGAGAGACAGUUGGGCACAGACAUGGUGAUGCAUGCCCUGAGCUAGAAGGAAGGGCUAGGCAGCAGGGGCCGUCAUCCAGCUUGGCAGGCAUUGCCCCAGAAGGCCCACCUCUUUCCUCCAAACCCAUGCCAGGGGUCUAGCACACUAACCCAGUGUUUCCUAAGCCAAACAACAUGGAAGGCUGCUUAAAAGUCUACAUUCUUUACCACAGGCCAUUAACUUUAUACGUAGGCAAAACAUAUUUAUGUUCCUCCUUUUCUUCAAUAAACAGAGUAAAGAAACUUUCUGUGGGUAGUUCACUCUGGACCAGUGAAAUGAGGGCAGCUAUUCUGAUGGGAAUAACUAAUGAGACAUGUACAGAAGAAAAAGCUAAACAUUAAACAGAGGAACACUGUUGGUAGAAUUAAAUAUAUACAACUUUUUCUGGAGGACACUUUGGCAACAGCUAUCGAAAUUGACCCAGCAAUUCCACUUUGCCAAAUUUAUCCUAUGUGUAUAUUCCUUGACAUGUGUUCAAGGAUGAACAAUGGUGCAUUAUUUGGGAAAAUUUUUUUCAACUGAAAACAAGCUAAAUGUCCAUCUAUAGGUGCUACUUACGAGGCUAUCUAAUACCUAAAGCUUCUCGAUGUACAUGAAAAGCAAGUUUCAAACCGUAUGUCUAUUAUAAUGCUACUUAUAUAAAAACAUCCAUGUAUUAUAUAUCUAAAUAUGUGUGUGUAUAUAUAUAUAUAUAUAUAUUUACAAUAUGGAUAUAUUUGUAUAUAUGGAUUAGAAAUGCCUGGAAAGAUCUAGAUGUGACAAACUGGCAGAUUAGGGACAAAUUUGGUCCACAGGGAGAUUUGUUUAUUGGGUUUUUUUGUUUAAAAUUUCAACUUGAAUGCCUUAGGAAGGGCUCCCAUACAGUCCUCUUAACUCUCGAUUCUCUUCCACCCUUUGAUUCUCUAAAUUGUUUCCUGCCUGACCCCUAAAUGCAAGUGAAGAGAGAAAUGGGUAUGUGUGGGGGUAGCUAGAGGGGUGCUCUAAGUUUUUACUUUCCACUUCCAUCGUGUCAACAAACAUGACUUUUAUGACUUAAGGAAGGGUGGGGUCAGGACUGAAGUCUUUCACUGUCACGAGAAGGACUGGAGGAAAAUAAGGAUCCUGAAAAAAGAGACACUGACUUGGAAGCUAUCUCUAUAGUCCAGAUAAGGAGCAGAGAGCAUCUGAACAAGCAGUAAAUGCAAGGAUAAAUUGUGAAACCCAGAUAUGAAACUUCUUUUAAAAUCCCUUAUCAGCCACAGCAGUUAAAAGAAUGCACAGACUUUUCUUUCUUCUUCCUUCUUUCCCCAUCAUGAAAAAUCGCAGCCUGUGGUUUAUCCCAUGGGCCACUGGGCAGGGCUCUGCUGUGCUCUGUGGGAAUCCAGGUCUGCUCAGAGCACUCCUGGGGAGUCUCAUUCUCCCAUGCCUGCGAGUUCCUUCUUUCUCUUCACCAUGUUGGUACCAGCUGUAUAGAAAGCAGGAGUCUUCACCACCAAUGGUUACAGCAGAAAUCAAACGCGGAUUGUCCCUGGACAGAGUCAAGCGGAUAGUACUGUCCUGGCCCCUGUUGCCUACCUUGGAGGAUCACUGGUUUCCACAGUUCACUUUGAGAUAAUAUUAGAAACCCCACAGCCUGCAAGGAAGGGUAAAGCUUUACCUUAAAAUGAGAACAAGGAAAACUUCCAAAUGAAACAUUCCCUUGUUUUUGGCAGUAGCUAAAAGACAGCCUGGUGUGAGAGUCCUGGAUGCCAUACUAUGCUCUUUCAUCUACUGGAAAUCCUUCAGUUGAAUGAAAUUAUUUAUUUGAAAAGGUUUUCGUUGAAUUUGGGCUGGUAUUUCAGAGACUUUCUCUUCUGUGUUUCAACAGUAGGGAAUGUAGCAUGGUAAGGAAGUUGGAGAGAUUAGGCAUGAAUAAAGUCAGAUCCAUGA